GACGAACGCUGGCGGCGUGCUUAACACAUGCAAGUCGAGCGGUAAGGCCCUUUCGGGGUACGACGAGCGGCGAACGGGUGAGUAACACGUGGGUGACCUGCCUCAGCUCUGGGAUAAGCCCGGGAAACGUGGUCUAAUACCGGAUAUGACUUCAUGACGCAUGUUGUGGAGUGGAAAGCCUUGUGCGGCUGAGGAUGGGCCCGCGGCCUAUCAGCUUGUUGGUGGGGUGANGGCCUACCAAGGCGACGACGGUAGCCGGCCUGAGAGGCGACCGGCCACACUGGGACUGAGAUACGGCCCAGACUCCUACGGGAGGCGGCAGUGGGGAAUCUUGCGCAAUGGG
Molecule: ribosomal RNA, 343 nt
Filed under: uncultured bacterium
Lineage: Bacteria
Description: bacterial SSU rRNA
Rfam family: Bacterial small subunit ribosomal RNA
Source: RNAcentral